This is a long non-coding RNA of Oreochromis aureus, 1150 nucleotides long. Lineage: Eukaryota; Metazoa; Chordata; Actinopteri; Cichliformes; Cichlidae. The record is from Ensembl.
GAAACAGUGAAAGUAGGGGCUCUUAUUCUCAGAGACACAGACAGAGUGAAGUGUCAGACGGUGUUCUUCUGCAGUUUAACAACUUUUCUGCAUCAGGAUCAAAGUCAGAAUGAAAAUCUUUCAUGUUCUCUUCUUCUGCUUCUUGUCAGGUCCAGCUGUGCUCGUCAAGGCAAAACAUAAUAUUUGGUCUGCAGCUGAAGGAGUAAAUGGCACACUUAACUGCAACUUAACUUUGUCUGGAAGCACAAAGUUCUUCUGUAAGGAAAAAUGUGAGCGAGCAGAAGAUAUCCUCAUUAAAACAGAUGGAAGCACAGCUCAGAGUGGGAGAUUCAGCAUUAAAUAUAAAGAUGGAUCUUCAGGAAGAGGAAUUGUGUUUUUGACCUUCACACACAUGAUCAAAUCUGACUCAGGACUGUACAGGUGUGCUUUUGGAAACUCUUCUCCAGAUUCAUACUAUGACUUUGAGGUCAGAGUUUCAAAUGAUCUGGAUAAAAACAUUGGUCUUUAUCACACAGAAAUGAAGGGAGAAAACAUCAAAUUAGUAUGUUCAAUUAAUGCGUACGGACAGAGGAAGUUCUUUUGUAAGAAUCAGUGUAAGAAUAAAGGGGAGAUCCUCAUUGACACAACUAAUAACAAAGCUGUGAGUGGCAGAUACAGCAUUGAAUACACAGCAGGAUCCAUGUAUGGACUGUAUGCAACCAUCACACAGCUGACCAAGUCAGACACAGGAUUGUACAUCUGUGGUUAUGGAAACCCUCUGUCUCCAGAUUCAUACGAGAGUGAAUAUGUUCUUGUCAGUGAUGCAACAACACAGAGUGAAAGUGUCACUGCAGGAGUCUCUACACAUGGUCCUGACUCCUCCUGGCUUCUGGUUGUGCGUGCGUCCUUGGAUGGUGUUUUGCUGAUGGCUGUUUUCCUCAUGCUCUUCUACAUUAGUAAGACAAGGAGGAACUUUGGACUGAACACCAGAGAAAAUGACACAAACAUGGAGUUAUCUGUCGGGUAUGAGAACUUUGAUCCAACCUCCAAACACGAAGAGUCCAAAAGCAGCAGGACCAAACCUACUCUGCAUUAUUAAAGACCAAAAUCUAAAAAGUAAAAAUUAAUUUUGGCCAUCUACUCUCUGAGGUUAUCUCCUCUUCCACACCUG